RNAcentral lists this ribosomal RNA (253 nucleotides) under uncultured bacterium. RNAcentral describes it as "partial 16S ribosomal RNA". It matches the Rfam family "Bacterial small subunit ribosomal RNA", at positions 524 to 776 of the family's 1533-position model. The record is from RNAcentral.
UACGUAGGGUGCGAGCGUUAAUCGGAAUUACUGGGCGUAAAGCGUGCGCAGGCGGUUCGUUGUGUCGGCGGUGAAAGCCCCGGGCUUAACCUGGGAAUGGCCGUCGAAACUGGCGAACUGGAGUGUGGCAGAGGGGGGUGGAAUUCCGCGUGUAGCAGUGAAAUGCGUAGAGAUGUGGAGGAAUACCGAUGGCGAAGGCAGCCCCCUGGGCUAACACUGACGCUCAUGCACGAAAGCGUGGGGAGCAAACAGG